This 253-nucleotide ribosomal RNA is filed under the name uncultured bacterium. Its description in RNAcentral is "partial 16S ribosomal RNA". It matches the Rfam family "Bacterial small subunit ribosomal RNA", at positions 524 to 776 of the family's 1533-position model. The record is from RNAcentral.
UACGAAGGGGGCUAGCGUUGUUCGGAAUUACUGGGCGUAAAGGGCGCGUAGGCGGUACUUCAAGUCAGGCGUGAAAGCCCCGGGCUCAACCUGGGAAUUGCAGUCGAGACUGUCAGACUAGAGUGUGGGAGAGGGUGGUGGAAUUCCCGGUGUAGCGGUGAAAUGCGUAGAUAUCGGGAGGAACAUCAGUGGCGAAGGCGACCGCCUGGCCCAACACUGACGCUGAGGUGCGAAAGCGUGGGUAGCAAACAGG